AUGCCGUGGCUCCUUGAUGCAUGCACGCGUCAACAUAGGAUCUGCCUAGACCUAGCGAUUCAGCGAGAUUGCAAUGGAGUAUGCACAACGCCAAUAUUUCCCUUGCGAGAUUCUACAUCAGCGUGGCCGUCGGGUCUUCCUUGGAUUGGGUUAUACUGGAUCGGUGUCGUCCUCACACUAGAAGCCCCGCCUUUCUGCAAGGUACACAACUUGCUCGCUACAGAGGAAAGAGAUGAUGCACAUUACUCCUUUCUGCAAGUAAAGAAAGGAUAUGUUCUCAUAACAAGGAUGGAAAGUAUAACAGGUUACAAAAACCAAUAUGGACAACACAGAUCUGAAAGUGAUGGACAGAAGAAGAAAGGGCGAGGUGUACUUUUCGUAUUUAGGACAAAGCAUUUAAAGAGGUUCAAAACAAAGAAAAUGAAACUGAAGGUCCAGUUUCCAGUGAACAUAGAAGCAAUAUUUUCCAGACCGCAUAGAAAGACACUCCGCAAUGCAACUCAUCACAGCCUUAUGGAGCAAGAACGUGCUACAACAGAGAUCCAAAAGGUAAACUCUGAGCUCAGCCAUCAGGUCACCGAAUUACAAGAUCAAUUACAAGCUGAACGUGAAAGCACACAAGAGAGGAUUAACUUCGAGCGUGCUAAGAGAGAAAACCUUGAGGAGAGGUUAAAAGAAGAGCGUGCUGAAACGGAAAGAUUGUUGGAAGAGGAGCGAAGAUCAAUAUUGGAAUUUGAGAAAAACAUGAUGGCAAAGUUUGCACAGUUCUCCCAACAGACGCAAACACAUCAGAUGAAUAAGAAAAGGACUAACAAAGAAAUUAAUAAUCCAAACUUGCAAAAUACUCUUUUACAGACCGCUAGUACUACUGGGACUCUAGGUACAAGGCACAAUGUAAUUGCUCCCAAUAUGCUCAUACAAGCUGCAAAUAUUCGAAUGUUUCGAGCAAUGGAUCCAAAGAUUAACUAG
This 969-nucleotide ribosomal RNA is filed under the name Triticum aestivum (bread wheat). RNAcentral describes it as "partial small subunit ribosomal RNA". The record is from RNAcentral. Lineage: Eukaryota; Viridiplantae; Streptophyta; Magnoliopsida; Poales; Poaceae.